UACGUAGGGUCCGAGCGUUGUCCGGAAUUACUGGGCGUAAAGAGCUCGUAGGUGGUUUGUCGCGUUGUUCGUGAAAACUCACAGCUUAACUGUGGGCGUGCGGGCGAUACGGGCAGACUGGAGUACUGCGGGGGAGACUGGAAUUCCUGGUGUAGCGGUGGAAUGCGCAGAUAUCAGGAGGAACACCGGUGGCGAAGGCGGGUCUCUGGGCAGUAACUGACGCUGAGGAGCGAAAGCGUGGGGAGCGAACAGG
This 253-nucleotide ribosomal RNA is filed under the name uncultured bacterium. Its description in RNAcentral is "partial 16S ribosomal RNA". It matches the Rfam family "Bacterial small subunit ribosomal RNA", at positions 524 to 776 of the family's 1533-position model. The record is from RNAcentral.